This 465-nucleotide ribosomal RNA is filed under the name Vreelandella stevensii. Its description in RNAcentral is "partial 16S ribosomal RNA". It matches the Rfam family "Bacterial small subunit ribosomal RNA", at positions 338 to 795 of the family's 1533-position model. Lineage: Bacteria; Pseudomonadati; Pseudomonadota; Gammaproteobacteria; Oceanospirillales; Halomonadaceae. The record is from RNAcentral.
CCUACGGGCGGCAGCAGUGGGGAAUAUUGGACAAUGGGGGCAACCCUGAUCCAGCCAUGCCGCGUGUGUGAAGAAGGCCCUCGGGUUGUAAAGCACUUUCAGUGAGGAAGAACGCCUGGUGGUUAAUACCCAUCAGGAAAGACAUCACUCACAGAAGAAGCACCGGCUAACUCCGUGCCAGCAGCCGCGGUAAUACGGAGGGUGCGAGCGUUAAUCGGAAUUACUGGGCGUAAAGCGCGCGUAGGUGGCUUGAUAAGCCGGUUGUGAAAGCCCCGGGCUCAACCUGGGAACGGCAUCCGGAACUGUCAAGCUAGAGUGCAGGAGAGGAAGGUAGAAUUCCCGGUGUAGCGGUGAAAUGCGUAGAGAUCGGGAGGAAUACCAGUGGCGAAGGCGGCCUUCUGGACUGACACUGACACUGAGGUGCGAAAGCGUGGGUAGCAAACAGUAUUAGAUACCCUGGUAGUC